GACGAACGCUGGCGGCGUGCCUAACACAUGCAAGUCGAACGAAGCUUGAUUACGGAUUCUUCGGAUGAAGUAUGAUAUGACUGAGUGGCGGACGGGUGAGUAACGCGUGAGUAACCUGCCCUUCAGAGGGGGAUAGCGUUUGGAAACGAACGGUAAUACCGCAUAAUGUAUUUUGACCGCAUGAUCGAAAUACCAAAGAUUUAUCGCUGAAGGAUGGACUCGCGUCUGAUUAGGUAGUUGGUGGGGUAACGGCCUACCAAGCCGACGAUCAGUAGCCGGACUGAGAGGUUGAUCGGCCACAUUGGGACUGAGACACGGCCCAGACUCCUACGGGAGGCAGCAGUGGGGAAUAUUGCACAAUGGGCGCAAGCCUGAUGCAGCAACGCCGCGUGAAGGAAGACGGUUUUCGGAUUGUAAACUUCUGUUCUUAGUGAAGAAUAAUGACGGUAGCUAAGGAGCAAGCCACGGCUAACUACGUGCCAGCAGCCGCGGUAAUACGUAGGUGGCAAGCGUUGUCCGGAAUUACUGGGUGUAAAGGGAGCGCAGGCGGGUGAUCAGUCAGCUGUGAAAACUACGGGGCUAACCCGUAGACUGCAGUUGAAACUGUUCAUCUUGAGUGAAGUAGAGGUUGGCGGAAUUCCGAGUGUAGCGGUGAAAUGCGUAGAUAUUCGGAGGAACACCGGUGGCGAAGGCGGCCAACUGGGCUUUAACUGACGCUGAGGCUCGAAAGUGUGGGGAGCAAACAGGAUUAGAUACCCUGGUAGUCCACACUGUAAACGAUGAUUGCUAGGUGUGGGGGGUCUGACCCCUUCCGUGCCGGAGCUAACGCAAUAAGCAAUCCACCUGGGGAGUACGACCGCAAGGUUGAAACUCAAAGGAAUUGACGGGGACCCGCACAAGCAGUGGAUUAUGUGGUUUAAUUCGAAGCAACGCGAAGAACCUUACCAGCACUUGACAUCCAACUAACGAAAUAGAGAUAUAUUAGGUGCCCUUCGGGGAAAGUUGAGACAGGUGGUGCAUGGUUGUCGUCAGCUCGUGUCGUGAGAUGUUGGGUUAAGUCCCGCAACGAGCGCAACCCUCGCCAUUAGUUGCUACGCAAGAGCACUCUAAUGGGACCGCUACCGACAAGGUGGAGGAAGGUGGGGACGACGUCAAAUCAUCAUGCCCCUUAUGUGCUGGGCUACACACGUAAUACAAUGGCCAUCAACAGAGAGAAGCAAUACCGCGAGGUGGAGCAAAACUUCAAAAAUGGUCUCAGUUCGGACUGCAGGCUGCAACCCGCCUGCACGAAGUUGGAAUUGCUAGUAAUCGUGGAUCAGCACGCCACGGUGAAUACGUUCCCGGGUCU
This 1348-nucleotide ribosomal RNA is filed under the name uncultured bacterium. RNAcentral describes it as "bacterial SSU rRNA". It matches the Rfam family "Bacterial small subunit ribosomal RNA", at positions 28 to 1381 of the family's 1533-position model. The record is from RNAcentral.